ACAAUGGAGAGUUUGAUCCUGGCUCAGGAUGAACGCUAGCUACAGGCUUAACACAUGCAAGUCGAGGGGAAACGACAUCGAAAGCUUGCUUUUGAUGGGCGUCGACCGGCGCACGGGUGAGUAACGCGUAUCCAACCUGCCCACCACUUGGGGAUAACCUUGCGAAAGUAAGACUAAUACCCAAUGAUAUCUCUAGAAGACAUCUGAAAGGGAUUAAAGAUUUAUCGGUGAUGGAUGGGGAUGCGUCUGAUUAGCUUGUUGGCGGGGUAACGGCCCACCAAGGCGACGAUCAGUAGGGGUUCUGAGAGGAAGGUCCCCCACAUUGGAACUGAGACACGGUCCAAACUCCUACGGGAGGCAGCAGUGAGGAAUAUUGGUCAAUGGGCGAGAGCCUGAACCAGCCAAGUAGCGUGCAGGAUGACGGCCCUAUGGGUUGUAAACUGCUUUUAUAAGGGAAUAAAGUGAGAGUCGUGACUCUUUUUGCAUGUACCUUAUGAAUAAGGACCGGCUAAUUCCGUGCCAGCAGCCGCGGUAAUACGGAAGGUCCGGGCGUUAUCCGGAUUUAUUGGGUUUAAAGGGAGCGUAGGCCGGAGAUUAAGCGUGUUGUGAAAUGUAGA
This 617-nucleotide ribosomal RNA is filed under the name Segatella copri. RNAcentral's name for it is "bacterial SSU rRNA". It matches the Rfam family "Bacterial small subunit ribosomal RNA", at positions 1 to 605 of the family's 1533-position model. The record is from RNAcentral. Lineage: Bacteria; Pseudomonadati; Bacteroidota; Bacteroidia; Bacteroidales; Prevotellaceae.